Molecule: ribosomal RNA, 593 nt
Filed under: uncultured bacterium
Lineage: Bacteria
Description: partial 16S ribosomal RNA
Rfam family: Bacterial small subunit ribosomal RNA
Source: RNAcentral
UGGGGAAUCUUCCGCAAUGGACGAAAGCCUGACGGAGCAACGCCGCGUGUAUGAUGAAGGUCUUCGGAUUGUAAAGUACUGUCAUUGGGGAAGAACGGUUUUCUUGAAAAGAUUGAGAAGACAUGACGGUACCCAAGGAGGAAGCCCCGGCUAACUACGUGCCAGCAGCCGCGGUAAUACGUAGGGGGCAAGCGUUGUCCGGAAUUAUUGGGCGUAAAGGGCGCGUAGGCGGGCCUUUAAGUCCGGUGUGAAAGAUCAGGGCUCAACCCUGAGAGUGCAUCGGAAACUGGAGGCCUUGAGGACAGGAGAGGAAAGUGGAAUUCCACGUGUAGCGGUGAAAUGCGUAGAUAUGUGGAGGAACACCAGUGGCGAAGGCGACUUUCUGGACUGUAACUGACGCUGAGGCGCGAAAAGCGUGGGGAGCAAAACAGGAUUAGAUACCCUGGUAGUCCACGCCGUAAACGAUGAGUGCUAGGUGUAGAGGGUAUCGACCCCUUCUGUGCCGCAGUUAACACAAUAAGCACUCCCGCCUGGGGAGUACGGCCGCAAGGUUGAAAACUUAAAUGAAAUUGACGGGGUCAUAGCUGUUUCCU